AUCUGUUAUUCUGUUAGGACACACGAGAGGAAAGGGCUACCCAUUGAGGUGGAGCCGCCCAAGUGUGGACUUUUGAUUUGAUUUCUGUAUGAGAACUCCCUUAUUGAUUCGCUUAUUAUGAUCAAUUACUAUUUUCUAAUUAAGAAAUUACUUUAAUAAUAAUGUUAUACGGUCUCAUGUGGAUUAUAAAUGUAUUGUCUAGUCACUGAGUUGCAAAACUCAUUCCGUUUUUCUAAAAAUAUUUUUCAGGAAUAAAUACUUGAAUAUGUGAGCUCUCUAUCCAAGAAUUAUGAUCUACAAUAGGUAUUUGUUCCUUGUUGAGUUCCUAGACGUUGUAUGCUCCAUAUGUCACAGGCAGGAUCCACUCAUAUUUAUUUUAUUUUUUGUUUGUUAAAAAUAUGUAAUUAUUCAUUUUAAACAUUGUAAAUUUAUUUCAAAUAUUUGUAAUUUUCUUAUUCAACUUAUAUUUGAGUCGGUUAGGCUUGCUUGGGGAUUAUUUUCCUAAGCGCCGAUCAUGGCUCAUUUUGGGCCGUGACAUUAGAUUUUUGUAUGUUUUCACAAUAUU
Non-coding RNA from Arachis ipaensis, 565 nucleotides. NCBI's taxonomy places the organism in Eukaryota, Viridiplantae, Streptophyta, Magnoliopsida, Fabales, Fabaceae. The record is from RefSeq and is a predicted model, not a curated record.